UAUAACCGAAGUACUUAGCAACCGAUAACGGCCGCCUUAGCUCUCCGUAUAUGGUAAUAACUCGGUUAACCGCUUAUGAUUGGUGGUUAACCCGUUGAACCGCCAUUCCCCCGACGACCUACGCCCGCGUUUGGCCGUCAUUCUGCAAGAUGUCACACAGACCUCUGGCCGCGUCGCUUUUUCGCGGUGUCUGUGCCUUUUGCUUUUGAGUUCCGGGCCUUGUCAUAUUAUUUAUUAUAUAUCGUACUUGUCCGAUAUUGUGAAAGAACAGUUACGGUGAAAGUAAACCUUGUGUUGAUUGUAAUUUCCCCACUUUUGGGAACACAGUUCCGGCUGUUGACGACUGGGAGCAGCGGAUCCGGAAUCUGGACAUUUGCGAAAACACCGAUUGGGUGAACUGCCUACAACAUCACGGCGCUUAUCAACGCUCCCGUUCGAGCCGCAGUUGCUACCUGCGAGUGCAGAGUCCACAUCUGGCCGCGCGCAUCUACCUACAUACCUAGAAGGGAAGUGUCGUUGUUGCGGAAUUCCAAGUGCUUUGUUCUAAAUAUAGAUUAAGUUAUAGACUGUUCAACGUAGGUAUAUUAUUUAGAUUCUGCGACCUGUUAUUCCAAUUUUUCAUAGUAAUUAAAUUAGUUAAGUAGUAAA
This is a long non-coding RNA of Leguminivora glycinivorella, 648 nucleotides long. RefSeq lists it as uncharacterized. NCBI's taxonomy places the organism in Eukaryota, Metazoa, Arthropoda, Insecta, Lepidoptera, Tortricidae. The transcript has 2 exons. The record is from RefSeq and is a predicted model, not a curated record.